CCUACGGGGGGCAGCAGUGGGGAAUAUUGGACAAUGGGGGCAACCCUGAUCCAGCCAUGCCGCGUGUGUGAAGAAGGCCCUCGGGUUGUAAAGCACUUUCAGUGAGGAAGAACGCCUGGUGGUUAAUACCCAUCAGGAAAGACAUCACUCACAGAAGAAGCACCGGCUAACUCCGUGCCAGCAGCCGCGGUAAUACGGAGGGUGCGAGCGUUAAUCGGAAUUACUGGGCGUAAAGCGCGCGUAGGUGGCUUGAUAAGCCGGUUGUGAAAGCCCCGGGCUCAACCUGGGAACGGCAUCCGGAACUGUCAAGCUAGAGUGCAGGAGAGGAAGGUAGAAUUCCCGGUGGAGCGGUGAAAUGCGUAGAGAUCGGGAGGAAUACCAGUGGCGAAGGCGGCCUUCUGGACUGACACUGACACUGAGGUGCGAAAGCGUGGGUAGCAAACAGGAUUAGAUACCCUUGUAGUC
Molecule: ribosomal RNA, 465 nt
Filed under: Vreelandella stevensii
Lineage: Bacteria; Pseudomonadati; Pseudomonadota; Gammaproteobacteria; Oceanospirillales; Halomonadaceae
Description: partial 16S ribosomal RNA
Rfam family: Bacterial small subunit ribosomal RNA
Source: RNAcentral